AGCCCAAACCCCCAAAGUGACUGUAUUUGGAGACGGGGCUUUUUGGAGGAAAUGAAGGUUAAAUGAGGUCAUAAGGGUGGAGCUCCAAUCCGAUAGGACCGUGGGCCUAUAGAAGAGGAAGGUCUCAAUUCUCUCCCUCUCUCUCUCUCUGCUCUGUGAGGACGCAGCAAGGGCUACCAUCUGCAAGCCAGGAAGACAGCGCUCACCAGGAUCCAAAUCAGCCAGCACCUUGAUCUUGGACUUCCUAGCCUCCGGAACGGACCCUGAGAUAAAUCUGAAUACAAAUUUUAAAGGCUACAAAUUGAAAUGAGAAUUCUUUUUACUGGUGGAUUUACUUGCUGUUCAAGGCUUGGGCACAUUUUGUGCACCUGGGGCUCCAAGGUCUAUGUGGCCAACUUCAGUGAAAUGCAAGGAAGUAGAUAAAAGAGAAAAAGACUGCGACAACGAAUAGCUGAAAGACAAGUUUCCCAAGUUCCAUCAGGAAUUAAAACAACCCCCCCAACGGCUCCUGAAAGUGCUAGCCCAGGGCCAGUAACCACAGCAACUCUGGGGACCACCGAAAGCUCUAACUGAUUCGAAGCAUGGAUUGGAUGAGAGUGCAUUUUCAUUUUGUGUAGUCUUACCAUACAGUAUACGUCAGGUCAAACCACGUGAAAUUGCCAAUAUUCAACCAGUUUUGGCCAUCAUAUAUUUCAACCUAAUAUCAAGACUGCUUCCCAAGGCCACCUCAUUUCGAACCCUGCCCCUAGUACAAAUCAAGAACAUUAUUCAAUAGACAUAAUUAAAAGUGCAAAUCUGAUAUGAAAAGUCUAUUAUAAUACAUGCUAAAGCAUGUAAAAAAUUGAGUCUACUGUGGCUGCCACCAGCAUCCACAAUUCUGAGUUAACUAGUCCAGAUAAAUAAACUGCCUUGGCAUUAUUUUUCUGAGAAAUAGAAGAAGGCCAAGCCCUAUUUGGAAAUAUAUCAGUAGCCUUAAAGGGAUUAAAAAUAUAUAAUUUCCCUGGAUUUAUACUAUCUUAGAGGAGUGAUUCUUUAAGACAAGGUUUCUCAACCUUGGUACUAUGGGCAUUUUGGACCAGAUAAUCCUUUGUCCUGUGCAUUGUAGGAUGCUUAACAGCAUCCCUGGACUCUAUCCGCUCGAUGCCAAUAGCAAGCCCGCCUCCAGAAGGACAACCAAAAAUGUCUACACAUAUUGCCAAAUGUCGGGGGUAGGGGGCAAAAUUGUCCCCAGUAUUUUCUCCAAGGUUUUUGGUUAGGGUUGCCAGAUUUAGCAAAUUAAAAAUAGAGGAUGCCCAUUUAAAUGUGAAUUUCAGACAAACAACAAAAUAAUUUUUUAGUAUAAACACGUCCCAAAUAUUGCACAGUGUUUAAUCUGUCAACCUUAUUUCCAGUGAAGUACUAACAUCAUAAAUAAAUAAAUUCCUAUUUCAUGACAGGGGAUUAAAUAGUUAGAACGACAAAGAUAACCGAGCUCACAGUCAGCAGCUUAUAGUGAAAACAGUACAUACUUUGGAGCCAGGCAGCUCAGAGUUGGAACCUGACAAUGUCAUUUUUGAAGGUGUGACCUUGGGCAAGUUAACUUCUCUGAGCCUCCACGUCCCCUUUUAUUAAAAAAAAAAAGUCACGGGUGGCAGAGAGGAUUAUAAUUCUGUUACUGAGUAGUUAUGUGAGUCGUAUGAUAAAGCGAGGUAGCUCUUUAAAGAUGAAGUGAAUAAUACAUAAGGUUUCGAGCACUCAGCACUCUCUGGAUGUGCUGCACCGAUGACCCAGGAGUCUAAGAGCACCAGGACAGGAUGUUCGGUUGGCACUGCCACUACCCCAGAUAUAAUCUAAUAGGUCCCAGGCAGCACCUGCCGCUGGCAGGAGGGGAAGCCGAGAAGACUGACGUUGCCUGUCCACUUGUAUCUGCUUGUCACGUCUGACCAAUAAUAGCUGAACAACCACUCAGGGCCCCUUGAGUAGGAAUGGGAGUAUAUACUUGUCAGAGAGGCGUGCAAAGACUGAGAAAAAGAGAAUUGCAACCUGACAUUCGUAGGGCUAUGGUGUUCAACUCCUACAAUGCUCUUCUCAAAGAGUUUUUCACUCAAAUUUUCCACCUUGCAAUUGGUCUGACAAUGUGGAAAAUAUAUUUUUAAGCCUUUUUUUUUUUUUAAAAAAAAAAAGGUACUUCCCUAUAUGUCUAUUUCUUCAUCUGCAAAAGGAAGGGGCCUGGCAAAUGAACUCUAACGUUCUUUCCAGGUUUGAAAAAUCAUGGGAUUCCUCCCUUCAAGGGCCCCACUGAAGUCUCAGCUCCUCCUGAAGGGUUCUGCUCUGGAAAUCCUGCCAGCAUGAAUCUCUCCCUUAGCUUCUAUUAUCUCUACUGUCCAUUAAAACAAAACAAUCUAUCAUACAGAAUAAUAAAACAAGUAUACAGAAUAAUAAAGGUAUACAAAAUAAUAAAACAAAUAUCCAUGUAUCCACCACUCAGUCUAAGAAAUAAUGUGUUCCCAAUGUUUUCAAGGUCCCAAUCGCAUCUCUUUCACCCCCAGCAUAACCACUAUCUUGAAUUUUGUUAAUUAUUCUCUUUUUAUUACUUCCUUGCUUUUCUUAAUAGUUUUACAACAUAUAUAUAUAUAUAUAUAU
Molecule: long non-coding RNA, 2622 nt
Organism: Equus caballus (horse)
Lineage: Eukaryota; Metazoa; Chordata; Mammalia; Perissodactyla; Equidae
Source: Ensembl